This 484-nucleotide ribosomal RNA is filed under the name uncultured bacterium. RNAcentral describes it as "partial 16S ribosomal RNA". It matches the Rfam family "Bacterial small subunit ribosomal RNA", at positions 30 to 507 of the family's 1533-position model. The record is from RNAcentral.
AUUGAACGCUGGCGGCAGGCCUAACACAUGCAAGUCGAGCGGAUGAAGGGAGCUUGCUCCUGGAUUCAGCGGCGGACGGGUGAGUAAUGCCUAGGAAUCUGCCUGGUAGUGGGGGAUAACGUCCGGAAACGGGCGCUAAUACCGCAUACGUCCUGAGGGAGAAAGUGGGGGAGCUUCGGACCUCACGCUAUCAGAUGAGCCUAGGUCGGAGUAGCUAGUUGGUGGGGUAAAGGCCUACCAAGGCGACGAUCCGUAACUGGUCUGAGAGGAUGAGCAGUCACACCUGAACCUGGACACGGUCCCGACUCCUUCGGGAGGGCGCAGGGGGGAAUAGUUGGCAAUGGGGGGAAGCCUUGUCCAGGCCUCCCGCGUGUGUGAAAGAAGCCUUCGGGUUGUAAAGGCCUUUUGUGUGGGGAGAAAAGCAGCAAGUUUAUACCCUGCUGUUUUGACGGUACCCAAAAAAUAAGCACCGGCCAACUUCGUG